This 433-nucleotide ribosomal RNA is filed under the name uncultured bacterium. Its description in RNAcentral is "partial 16S ribosomal RNA". It matches the Rfam family "Bacterial small subunit ribosomal RNA", at positions 29 to 507 of the family's 1533-position model. The record is from RNAcentral.
AACGAACGCUGGCGGCAUGCCUAACACAUGCAAGUCGAACGAGACCUUCGGGUCUAGUGGCGCACGGGUGCGUAACGCGUGGGAACCUGCCCUUAGGUUCGGAAUAACUCCCCGAAAGGGGUGCUAAUACCGGAUAAUGUCUUCGGACCAAAGAUUUAUCGCCUUUGGAUGGGCCCGCGUUGGAUUAGCUAGUUGGUAGGGUAAAAGCCUACCAAGGCGACGAUCCAUAGCUGGUCUGAGAGGAUGAUCAGCCACACUGGGACUGAGACACGGCCCAGAAUCCUACGGGAGGCAGCAGUGGGGAAUAGUGGACAAUGGGCGAAAGCCUGAUCCAGCAAGGCCGCGUGAGUGAUGAAGGCCUUAGGGUUGUAAAGCUCUUUUACCCGGGAUGAUAAUGACAGUACCGGGAGAAUAAGCGCCGGCUAACUCCGUG